GACAGAGGUGCCGAGCGUUUAGGCGGAAUCACUGGGCUUAAAGCGUGUGUAGGCGGAUCGUUAAGUACCUUGUGAAAUCCCCCGGCUCAACCGGGGAACUGCUGGGUAUACUGGCGAUCUUGAGCGAUCUAGGGGCAGAUGGAACAAGUGGUGGAGCGGUGAAAUGCGUAGAUAUCACUUGGAACGCCAAAGGUGAAAACAGUCUGCUGGGGAUCUGCUGACGCUGAGACACGAAAGCCAGGGGAGCGAACGGG
This 254-nucleotide ribosomal RNA is filed under the name uncultured bacterium. RNAcentral describes it as "partial 16S ribosomal RNA". It matches the Rfam family "Bacterial small subunit ribosomal RNA", at positions 524 to 776 of the family's 1533-position model. The record is from RNAcentral.